Molecule: ribosomal RNA, 329 nt
Filed under: uncultured eukaryote
Lineage: Eukaryota
Description: partial 18S ribosomal RNA
Rfam family: Eukaryotic small subunit ribosomal RNA
Source: RNAcentral
CCCUUAGAUGUCCUGGGCCGCACGCGCGCUACACUGAGUGUCUGAGAUACGAGUCUGCCUGGUCCGGCAAGGUCUAGGUAAUCGCUAAAAGACACAUCAUGCUUGGGAUAGAUUAUUGCAAAUAUUAAUCUUGAACGAGGAAUUCCUAGUAAGCGCAAGUCAACAGCUUGCGUUGAUUACGUCCCUGCCCUUUGUACACACCGCCCGUCGCUACUACUGAUUGGAUGUUUAAGCGAGGUUCUCGAACUGCAAGCGACUUAGCUUCGGUGAGGUCGCAGUGUGGGAAGUGAACCUAGCUUUGGUGUCUAGAGGAAGUAAAAGUCGUAACA